CAGGGAAUCUUCCACAAUGGGCGAAAGCCUGAUGGAGCAACGCCGCGUGUGUGAUGAAGGGUUUCGGCUCGUAAAACACUGUUGUAAGAGAAGAAUGACAUUGAGAGUAACUGUUCAAUGUGUGACGGUAUCUUACCAGAAAGGAACGGCUAAAUACGUGCCAG
Molecule: ribosomal RNA, 164 nt
Filed under: uncultured bacterium
Lineage: Bacteria
Description: partial 16S rRNA
Rfam family: Bacterial small subunit ribosomal RNA
Source: RNAcentral